RNAcentral lists this long non-coding RNA (2482 nucleotides) under Equus caballus (horse). RNAcentral describes it as "lncRNA (ENSECAG00000052851.1)". Lineage: Eukaryota; Metazoa; Chordata; Mammalia; Perissodactyla; Equidae. The record is from RNAcentral.
CGAGACAUCAUACUCAAUGCCAACUCCAUCCCGCUGAAAAUGCUGGGCCAGGAGUUCCUAUAAGCUGUCAGUCAAAGCAAGCCUGCAGCUGCCUUGUGUCCUCGAACUGAGGAACCACUUUGGGUACUAAGGAAGGAGCAGAGUGAAGGGAAGCAUCUGUGACUGGCUGGCAUAAGCUGCAUUUCAAAACAGACAUAAAAGGAAUUUAGGCCAGGCUCUAGGAAGGCUCACACUUUAAAGAAAACAAAUGUUUUUAUUCAGGUUCAGGGGACUUUUAAACUGCAGUAUUUAGGCUCAAAAGAUGACACUCACACCAUUGUAGUCGUGAAGAAAAUUGACUACCAGGCGGAAUGAAGGAACAGUGCCACUGAAAUCUUUAUGAGUGAUCUGAAAUGAAAUGCUCUAAACCAACUCACUUCUCAACCAGAGCUCUGCAGAUGCUACACAGAUGACAACUUUCUCAUCAUAAAAAUGAUGGAAAGCACACAACGGAGGUAUUCAAACCAAAGAUUACUAGAGAUCGCCUUCAUUAGAGGCCCAAGGACUCUCCGAGUGAGGUGAGCCAGCCUGUAGGAGUGAGGAAGGAGCUCGCUACUGGGACAGUGCCUCUCACCGCCAACAGCUGUGUGACUUUUCAGAGGACGCACUGUGCCCUGGGAAAUGAACCCCCAGGGUGAGGGGGAAGAGCAGAGAUUGGAAAGCUGUGUCAGAAAAUCUCUCACAGCUUGGCCUGGUGUGUUCACACACACUCUGCCAGUUUCCUGAACACGGCACCUUUCCAGUUACCUUUUGGAAAAUCAUAUAUAUGUUUGCUCAAUGCUCUGGAAGCACAGAAAGAUUUGGGUGCAUCUAACACCAUGCAAGGGAAUGACUACCAGCUGCUAAAUGGGAUUUGAAAGUCUGGAGACAAUUGGUCACAGGUAUUUCCAAUUUAGGAGUUUUUGGAUGGCCUUUAUCCAGGCCUUUUAUUACUUCUAAUAGUCCUUUGAUGGGAAGUAAAGUGACUAUAAAUUAGUGCCUACUAAUUCUUUAUAAUAGAAGAGAGGUCAGUUUGUCUUUUGAAAAAAGCACCAGCUUGGAGAACAAAUGACUCAAUUCGUCCCUGCUGACUUUCUAAGUGAUCUUGGAUGGGCAAGGUAACUGCUCUGAGUCUUGGUUUGAGAGAAAAAAAGGUUACAAAGUCCUAUGACAAAGAGAGAGUGAAGACAUGCUGGUAAAUUCACCCAGUCACCUGGGCUGGAGGCUAACUAAGCAAAAAGCAAAGCGGUAGCAUUCCAGAUAUUUAAACAAUAGAAACAACAAAAAUUUGUCUUUGCCGUUCGUCGUGGGCCUAGGGGAUCUGAGUGAGCGAUGACUCUGUCUGGAGACCACGAAGAGGCAGCUGCAUCUCAGACUUCCUUGAGGACCCUGAGAGACCAGGCAUCUCCUUGGGCUUCUGCAUGUGCUGCCAGUCACUCCAUCAGGACAAUCUGUAAAGACCUUUUCUGAAUCUGCAAACACUGGGUUCCUGCUUCCGAUCAUGCAGCAGGCUCACUAAGAAGCAGCCCAGGCUCCGCAGAGCAGGGGCUGAGCCUUACAACAGGCCCACCUGCUUCUUCACCACCUGACACCCCAUCCCACACACCCAAGUCAACAGCGACCAGUGUGCCUUAGACCUUGAGCAUCAGACCAAGGUUAUGGCUCUGGUACGGGGACAUGAGUCUAGCAGUGCUGAACCCCAGCCUCUUUCCAGCCUUAUCUAGUCCAGUCCCUUUUGUGUUUCCUAAACUGCCUUCAAACUGAACUCAUUGCUGGUUGCCAUAGAGUGCCCUACAUUUUCCUAUUUCUAUGCCUUUACUCAUUUCCUUCUACUCAAAAUAUUCUUCUCGUUCACAGCAACGUGUUCAAAACCUACCCGCUCUUUACAACCCCGUUCUCAUGCAACUGGCACCAUGAAACCUGCCCCAAUUCGCUCUCAUACACCAAGUCUGCUCAGACUGUGGAAGUGGUAUGAGAAUUUUAAGAGAGGGAUAAGAACAGUAUUCCUGCCCUUUGGAAGUUUAUACUCUACUUGGGGAGACAAUAAACUAAUAAAGAAGAGGACAAGACUAUUUGGAAGUCAAUGCCAGGAAGAGCUGCGGAGGUCAUAAUAACUCCUGUUUAUUGAGCACUUAAUGUGUGCCGGCCCUGUACCAAGAACUUUAUACAUAUAUUUUAGUUCUCACCACUCCAGCCCAUAUUAAUCCCACUCUACAGAUGAGCAAGCUCAUCUAUACUCAGAGACCUUAAAUCCUUAUCUAGAAUAAAGUCUAUCUAGGAUAAACAUUAAACCCUUAUCUACUUGUCUUAUCUAGCCCGUAGGUCACAGAGCCUGAGCUCUUAAAAAUGUUCUAAAAUUACAUUGUGGUGAUGGUUGCACAAGUCUGUGAAUAUAUGAAAAACCAUUGAAUUGUACACUUCAAAGAUGUGACAUGUAUGAUAUAUAAAUUAUAUUUCAAAAAAG